UAAAAAGAGAAAACUUCGAGAUCUAAUCCAGAGUACCACGAGACACGUGAAACCUUGUGGGAAGCAGGGAGGACCACCUCCCAAGGCUAAAUACUACCUAGUGACCGAUAGUGAAGCAGUACCGUGAGGGAAAGGUGAAAAGAACCCCGGAAGGGGAGUGAAAUAGAACCUGAAACCGUGUGCCUACAACCGAUCGGAGCACGUUAAAGUGUGACGAUGUGCUUUUUGUAGAACGAGCCAGCGAGUUACGCUAUGUAGCAAGGUUAAGUACUUAAGGUAUGGAGCCGAAGGGAAACCGAGUCUGAAAAGGGCGAAAAGUUGCAUGGUGUAGACCCGAAACCGGGUGACCUAUCCAUGGCCAGGUUGAAGCGAGAGUAAAAUCUCGUGGAGGACCGAACCACGUUGGUGUUGAAAAACCAUGGGAUGAGCUGUGGAUAGCGGAGAAAUUCCAAUCGAACUCGGAGAUAGCUGGUUCUCCUCGAAAUAGCUUUAGGGCUAGCGUCGUGUAAUUGAGUAAUGGAGGUAGAGCACUGAAUGGGCUAGGGGCUAUAGUAGUUACCGAACCCUAUCAAACUCCGAAUGCCAUAUACUUGUAUCACGGCAGUCAGACUGCGAAUGAUAAGAUCCGUAGUCAAAAGGGAAACAGCCCAGACCAUCAGCUAAGGUCCCAAAGUGUAAGUUAAGUGGAAAAGGAUGUGGGAUUUCUAAGACAACUAGGAUGUUGGCUUAGAAGCAGCCACUCAUUUAAAGAGUGCGUAAUAGCUCACUAGUCAAGAGAUCCUGCGCCGAAGAUGUCCGGGGCUCAAACUUACCACCGAAGCUAUGGGUGUACACUACGUGUACGCGGUAGAGGAGCUUUCUGUAUGGGUUGAAGUCGUACCGUAAGGAGCGGUGGACUGUACAGAAGUGAGAAUGCUGGCAUAAGUAGCGAGAAAUAAGUGAGAAUCUUAUUGGCCGAAAACCUAAGGUUUCCUGAGGAAGGUUCGUCCGCUCAGGGUUAGUCGGGACCUAAGCCGAGGCCGAAAGGCGUAGGUGAUGGACAAUCGGUUGAUAUUCCGAUACC
This 1063-nucleotide ribosomal RNA is filed under the name Clostridium botulinum. Its description in RNAcentral is "partial 23S ribosomal RNA". It matches the Rfam family "Bacterial large subunit ribosomal RNA", at positions 380 to 1445 of the family's 2925-position model. The record is from RNAcentral. Lineage: Bacteria; Bacillati; Bacillota; Clostridia; Eubacteriales; Clostridiaceae.